This 103-nucleotide small nuclear RNA is filed under the name Procavia capensis (Cape rock hyrax). The record is from RNAcentral. Lineage: Eukaryota; Metazoa; Chordata; Mammalia; Hyracoidea; Procaviidae.
GUCUCACUUUGGCAGGACAUAUACUAAAAUUGGAAUGAUACAGAGAUUAGCAUGGCCUCUGCACAAGGACGACAUGAAAAUUCAUGCAGUGCUCAAUAUUUGU